GGAAACGUGGCAGAGCGGCCGAAUGCACUGGUCUUGAAAACCAGCGAUGAGCAAUCAUCCGCGGGUUCAAAUCCCGCCGUUUCCGCCA
This 88-nucleotide transfer RNA is filed under the name Corynebacterium mendelii. RNAcentral's name for it is "tRNA-Ser". It matches the Rfam family "tRNA". Rfam says of the family: Transfer RNA (tRNA) molecules are approximately 80 nucleotides in length. Their secondary structure includes four short double-helical elements and three loops (D, anti-codon, and T loops). The record is from RNAcentral. Lineage: Bacteria; Bacillati; Actinomycetota; Actinomycetes; Mycobacteriales; Corynebacteriaceae.